Molecule: ribosomal RNA, 1256 nt
Filed under: Hypoxylon sublenormandii
Lineage: Eukaryota; Fungi; Ascomycota; Sordariomycetes; Xylariales; Hypoxylaceae
Description: partial large subunit ribosomal RNA
Rfam family: Eukaryotic large subunit ribosomal RNA
Source: RNAcentral
GGGAUUGCCCUAGUAACGGCGAGUGAAGCGGCAACAGCUCAAAUUUGAAAUCUGGCCCUAGCGGUCCGAGUUGUAAUUUGUAGAGGAUGCUUUUGGCGCGGUGCCUUCCGAGUUCCCUGGAACGGGACGCCUUAGAGGGUGAGAGCCCCGUACGGUUGGACGCCUAGCCUCUGUAUAGCUCCUUCGACGAGUCGAGUAGUUUGGGAAUGCUGCUCUAAAUGGGAGGUAAAUUUCUUCUAAAGCUAAAUACCGGCCAGAGACCGAUAGCGCACAAGUAGAGUGAUCGAAAGAUGAAAAGCACUUUGAAAAGAGGGUUAAAUAGCACGUGAAAUUGUUGAAAGGGAAGCGUUUGCGACCAGACUUUUUCCGGGCGGAUCAUCCGGUGUUCUCACCGGUGCACUUCGCCCGGUUUAGGCCAGCAUCGGUUCUCUUAGGGGGAUAAAGGCCUAGGGCACGUAGCUCUUUCGGGAGUGUUAUAGCCCUUCGCGUAAUACCCCUCGGGGGACCGAGGAACGCGCUCUGCAAGGAUGCUGGCGUAAUGGUCGUCAACGACCCGUCUUGAAACACGGACCAAGGAGUCGAACAUUUGUGCGAGUGUUUGGGUGUUAAACCCUCACGCGUAAUGAAAGUGAACGGAGGUGAGAGCCCUUCGGGGUGCAUCAUCGACCGAUCCUGAUGUCUUCGGAUGGAUUUGAGUAAGAGCAUAACUGUUCGGACCCGAAAGAUGGUGAACUAUGCGUGGAUAGGGUGAAGCCAGAGGAAACUCUGGUGGAGGCUCGCAGCGGUUCUGACGUGCAAAUCGAUCGUCAAAUCUGCGCAUGGGGGCGAAAGACUUAUCGAACCAUUAAACCAGCGGUAAAAAACGAUUUACUAGGUGGUUAAGAGGCACCCCGGGAGGGGUGCCUAGGUCAUCUGGGGCGACCUACCCUGGAGCUACCCUGUACUUGCCUACCCUAUAGUUACCCCGCCGCGGGGUAGCGGGGGAGGCGAGCUACCCUGUAGCUACCCUGGAGUAGGGAGUUCCGGCCGACACCGCUAAAUUGCGGGGACGUCCUAUCAGAAGGCCGCAGGCUACCGCCGCGCGCUGAAAAGCGCCGCGGCACCAAGAAUAGCGCUCUUGGGUACGGUAAUAACGCCUGCGGUAACGGAUAACCUGCAGCCAACCCCGCGUGUUACAGGGGAGAGUUCACUGACUAAAUAGCGGUGGGUCAGCCGUAGGCUGGCUUAAGACAUAGUCGAUCCGGGCCCUGAAAAGG